This 301-nucleotide ribosomal RNA is filed under the name uncultured bacterium. Its description in RNAcentral is "partial 16S ribosomal RNA". It matches the Rfam family "Bacterial small subunit ribosomal RNA", at positions 509 to 807 of the family's 1533-position model. The record is from RNAcentral.
CAGCAGCCACGGGAAUACUGAGGGUGCGAGCGUUAAUCGGAAUUACUGGGCGUAAAGCGCACGCAGGCGGUCUGUCAAGUCAGAUGUGAAAUCCCCGGGCUUAACCUGGGAACUGCAUUUGAAACUGGCAGGCUAGAGUCUUGUAGAGGGGGGUAGAAUUCCAGGUGUAGCGGUGAAAUGCGUAGAGAUCUGGAGGAAUACCGGUGGCGAAGGCGGCCCCCUGGACAAAGACUGACGCUCAGGUGCGAAAGCGUGGGGAGCAAACAGGAUUAGAUACCCGCGUAGUCCCUGUCUCUUAUAC